UGGAGUACCGGGCUCGGCGCCGGGGGCGCUCCGGGCACGGUACCGGGCCCGUUCCCGGCCGUCUCCCGGCGCGGUGCGGACACGUUCCCGGCUCGGACACGGCGUUCGGCCGAGGGCCCGUGCCGGGCUCCGGGGGGCAGGGCUCCCUGCAGGGCUGGAGGCAGGACGAGAGUCCGUGCAGGACCGAUGGCCGCGGACUGGGAGGAGAGGCCCUUGACAGGCGGGGGACCCUGCUGGGGUCCCGGGCCGGGCGGGGGGUGAGCGGUCCCAUGCAGGAGGGGCUGCUGGGGGCAGCGCAGGAGAUACACAAAGGUUAACAACCGUGAACGAACAUCAACUGCAGACGUCACUCCUCGAAUAGGAAACCAAACACAGAACGUUGACACUUGGGACAAAUGGACAAUGAACCAAUGAAUUUCUAUGUGCUUUGGCUGUAUAAAAUAUGUAGAAAAUGUAGUAAAAUUCAUGUGUCAUGGAAUGAUUUUUCUCUGCACAACCCAGGACAUAUGUGGAUGAAACAAUUUCUGUUGCACAUCCUGGCCAGAAUAAAGCAAUGCCUUGAUUCUCUCACA
Lonchura striata (white-rumped munia) is the source of this 572-nucleotide non-coding RNA. The record is from RefSeq and is a predicted model, not a curated record. NCBI's taxonomy places the organism in Eukaryota, Metazoa, Chordata, Aves, Passeriformes, Estrildidae.